GGGGAGUGCGUCUGGUCCUUGAGAACUCAACAGCGUGCACAUUGUCAAUGCCAAUUUAUUGAUUGACCUCGUGCCUGGCCUUCCUUCGGGUUGGUUGGGUUUGAGACAAUUCCUUUUGGAUUGAAGAUUGUCAGUAGACAGUCAACAGUCAGAAUCAACUCGGUCUGGCACCUUUUGGGUGUUGGGUCUGUAUUUUUUUACGGAGAGUUUGAUCCUGGCUCAGGACGAACGCUGGCGGCGUGCUUAACACAUGCAAGUCGAACGAUGAUGCCCAGCUUGCUGGGUGGAUUAGUGGCGAACGGGUGAGUAACACGUGAGUAACCUGCCCCUGACUCUGGGAUAAGCGUUGGAAACGACGUCUAAUACUGGAUAUGAUCACUGGCCGCAUGGUCUGGUGGUGGAAAGAUUUUUUGGUUGGGGAUGGACUCGCGGCCUAUCAGCUUGUUGGUGAGGUAAUGGCUCACCAAGGCGACGACGGGUAGCCGGCCUGAGAGGGUGACCGGCCACACUGGGACUGAGACACGGCCCAGACUCCUACGGGAGGCAGCAGUGGGGAAUAUUGCACAAUGGGCGAAAGCCUGAUGCAGCAACGCCGCGUGAGGGAUGACGGCCUUCGGGUUGUAAACCUCUUUUAGUAGGGAAGAAGCGAAAGUGACGGUACCUGCAGAAAAAGCACCGGCUAACUACGUGCCAGCAGCCGCGGUAAUACGUAGGGUGCAAGCGUUGUCCGGAAUUAUUGGGCGUAAAGAGCUCGUAGGCGGUUUGUCGCGUCUGCUGUGAAAUCCCGAGGCUCAACCUCGGGCUUGCAGUGGGUACGGGCAGACUAGAGUGCGGUAGGGGAGAUUGGAAUUCCUGGUGUAGCGGUGGAAUGCGCAGAUAUCAGGAGGAACACCGAUGGCGAAGGCAGAUCUCUGGGCCGUAACUGACGCUGAGGAGCGAAAGCAUGGGGAGCGAACAGGAUUAGAUACCCUGGUAGUCCAUGCCGUAAACGUUGGGCGCUAGAUGUAGGGACCUUUCCACGGUUUCUGUGUCGUAGCUAACGCAUUAAGCGCCCCGCCUGGGGAGUACGGCCGCAAGGCUAAAACUCAAAGGAAUUGACGGGGGCCCGCACAAGCGGCGGAGCAUGCGGAUUAAUUCGAUGCAACGCGAAGAACCUUACCAAGGCUUGACAUACACCGGAAACGGCCAGAGAUGGUCGCCCCCUUGUGGUCGGUGUACAGGUGGUGCAUGGUUGUCGUCAGCUCGUGUCGUGAGAUGUUGGGUUAAGUCCCGCAACGAGCGCAACCCUCGUUCUAUGUUGCCAGCGGGUUAUGCCGGGGACUCAUAGGAGACUGCCGGGGUCAACUCGGAGGAAGGUGGGGAUGACGUCAAAUCAUCAUGCCCCUUAUGUCUUGGGCUUCACGCAUGCUACAAUGGCCGGUACAAAGGGCUGCGAUACCGUAAGGUGGAGCGAAUCCCAAAAAGCCGGUCUCAGUUCGGAUUGAGGUCUGCAACUCGACCUCAUGAAGUCGGAGUCGCUAGUAAUCGCAGAUCAGCAACGCUGCGGUGAAUACGUUCCCGGGCCUUGUACACACCGCCCGUCAAGUCAUGAAAGUCGGUAACACCCGAAGCCGGUGGCCUAACCCUUGUGGAAGGAGCCGUCGAAGGUGGGAUCGGUGAUUAGGACUAAGUCGUAACAAGGUAGCCGUACCGGAAGGUGCGGCUGGAUCACCUCCUUUCU
RNAcentral lists this ribosomal RNA (1720 nucleotides) under Curtobacterium sp. JUb34. RNAcentral's name for it is "bacterial SSU rRNA". The stretch from base 197 to 1718 matches the Rfam family "Bacterial small subunit ribosomal RNA". Lineage: Bacteria; Bacillati; Actinomycetota; Actinomycetes; Micrococcales; Microbacteriaceae. The record is from RNAcentral.